This 548-nucleotide ribosomal RNA is filed under the name uncultured bacterium. RNAcentral describes it as "bacterial SSU rRNA". It matches the Rfam family "Bacterial small subunit ribosomal RNA", at positions 147 to 710 of the family's 1533-position model. The record is from RNAcentral.
CUCCUGGAAACGGGUGGUAAUGCCGGAUGCUCCCGCGCCCCGCAUGGUGUGGUGGGAAAGCUUCGGCGGUAUGGGAUGGGGUCGCGUCCUAUCAGCUUGUUGGUGGGGUAAUGGCCUACCAAGGCUUCGACGGGUAGCCGGCCUGAGAGGGCGACCGGCCACAUUGGGACUGAGAUACGGCCCAGACUCCUACGGGAGGCAGCAGUGGGGAAUAUUGCGCAAUGGGGGGAACCCUGACGCAGCGACGCCGCGUGCGGGAUGGAGGCCUUCGGGUUGUGAACCGCUUUUGGUAAGGAGCAAGCGAGAGUGAGUGUACUUAUCGAAUAAGGACCGGCUAACUACGUGCCAGCAGCCGCGGUAAUACGUAGGGUCCAAGCGCUGUCCGGAAUUAUUGGGCGUAAAGGGCUCGUAGGCGGCCUGUCGCGUCUGGUGUGAAAGCCCGUGGCUUAACUGCGGGUCUGCGCUGGAUACGGGCGGGCUAGAGUGCGGUAGGGGAGAAUGGAAUUCCCGGUGUAACGGCGGAAUGUGUAGAUAUCGGGAAGAACACC